This 315-nucleotide long non-coding RNA is filed under the name Homo sapiens (human). Its description in RNAcentral is "HSALNT0052887". The record is from RNAcentral. Lineage: Eukaryota; Metazoa; Chordata; Mammalia; Primates; Hominidae.
UGUUACUGCCAGCAUGGCCUGAGAGCAUCCUGAGGUGAGAGAAGCUUGAAACAAGGACACCUGUGUACUAUGCAGUAGCCCACAAAUGGUUUCUUUAAGAUAUGCCCCCUUCCUAUUUCUGGAGACUGGCAAUAUGUUGGAAGUGGGUAGGAAUAAGACAACUCAGCGGUUGAGGAUUUUGAAAAUGAGUAUGUUAGAUGUUAUGGAUUAUCACUUUUACACCCAUAAUUCUCAGCAUCUUAAACUUAGCAUGUCACCAUUCAGACUGAACUGAAUUGAAUUCUAUUUAUUUCUGUAGACAGAGGCAUCUCCUUU